AGAGUUUGAUCCUGGCUCAGGAUGAACGCUAGCGGCAGGCUUAACACAUGCAAGUCGAGGGGCAGCAUAAUGGAUAGCAAUAUCUAUGGUGGCGACCGGCGCACGGGUGCGUAACGCGUAUGCAACCUACCUUUAACAGGGGGAUAACGCUGAGAAAUUGGUACUAAUACCCCAUAAUAUCAUAGAAGGCAUCUUUUAUGGUUGAAAAUUCCGAUGGUUAGAGAUGGGCAUGCGUUGUAUUAGCUAGUUGGUGGGGUAACGGCUCACCAAGGCGACGAUACAUAGGGGGACUGAGAGGUUAACCCCCCACACUGGUACUGAGACACGGACCAGACUCCUACGGGAGGCAGCAGUGAGGAAUAUUGGUCAAUGGACGCAAGUCUGAACCAGCCAUGCCGCGUGCAGGAUGACGGCUCUAUGAGUUGUAAACUGCUUUU
RNAcentral lists this ribosomal RNA (437 nucleotides) under uncultured bacterium. Its description in RNAcentral is "bacterial SSU rRNA". It matches the Rfam family "Bacterial small subunit ribosomal RNA", at positions 8 to 437 of the family's 1533-position model. The record is from RNAcentral.